AAAUGACGCCCUGUUAGAUUAUAAAAAAAAGAAAUGAUUUAUUUAUUUUUUUAAAUAAAAAAUAAAUAGGUUUAUCUUUAAGCGUUUAAAAAAAGUGAUAUUUCUGUGAUCACAAUAGUUUCUCCUGAAAUUAUGGACAGUCAGAAAGCAACACUAGGAUCUGAAGCGAUGAUUUCGUGGAUCACAACUUACUCCUGUCAUACUAAUGUGAUUGAUGAAUAGCUGUCCUUUAAAGGUAUAAGAAACACUGCUAGCAUACUCGAAUAAACUCGGAUUCAGCAUAUCGUGAUGCCAUCGAGAUGGGAGACGUUCAUCCAAAGGCGUUCGAGCAAGGUGUCGUACACGGAUCAGCAGAAGACGUUCGCCGGCGAUUCCGAACUUGCCGGACCCUCGAAAGCCUGGAGAUCGAACUACGAAACAUCAAGCGCUUCGGGUGAUACAUUUAUACAAACAACGACGAACACGUCUUCGGAAGAGACGACUUCCUCAUCGAAUACUUUCUCCUGCGAGAAGGUAAAAGCGGCUUUCGGGAACCCGUUCUGUAUCAACUCAACGGAUGAGGUCUUGGACUUGGAGCCGGCGGAAAAUGAAGUGAUACGCAACGGAGAAGUGAAACUCGGGAACAGAUUGAUAAGAAGCGCUUGCAUUAUGAAGACCGCUUGCUUUGCCACUGUAGGCAUUGGGACAGGCAUCGCAGCGGUUUUCAUUCUCAUCUUUCAAGAAGUGAUGGCGGAAUUCAAGUAUCAUGCUUUGCUAAAUGUUUUAGAUAAUCACCAAAUAACAUCACCUUUGGUGAUUCUUUUCUGGUUCAGUGGUGUCAUUAUUCCUUUGCUGAUCGGUUGCCUCAUAGUUAUUUACAUCGAGCCAAAAGCAGCAGGUGAAGGUAUAGCGAACGUUAUCGGAUAUUUAAAUGGAGUGAACACUUCGACUGGUAAUACGAUGAAAAUCAUGAUUGUAAAGUUUUUCAGCGUUUUUGGCACAAUGGCAUCAGGGAUUGCAGGGGGGAUGGAAGGUCCAUUAAUUCAUAUCGGUGCUUGCAUAGCUAGCUGUAUAUCAAAUCUUCGAUUGCCUUUCCAUUGGUGUAUAAGACCUGAACCAAAUUUCAAUCAGCCUUUCAGACGUUUACAAACUGAUUUACACCGAAGAGAUUUAGUCGGAGGUGGCAUGGCAGCAGGGAUUUCUGGAGGAUUUUUUGCUCCCUUUGGAGGUUUGAUUAUGGUUUUAGAAGAAGGGUUGAUUUAUUGUACCAGUGAUGUUAUGGUUGGUAUCCUCAUUUGCUCUAUUGUAUGUCAAGUAUUUGUUGUGACUGUCAUGUCAAUAAUUUUUGGCUGUGAAGGUUGCCAAAAUCAAAGAGCUUUAUUAUUUUUUUCGACACCGACCAAGUCGAAUGGUUACAAAUACAGGGACAUCGGGCUCAUAAUCUUGGAAGCGGUGAUUGCUGGCCUUCUCGGUGCAGCAUGGAAUUAUUGCCAACUAAGAUUGAUUUUAUUAAGAAACAUAUAUGUUAAAACAAAUGGUCGUAGAAUUUCUGAAGCGUUAGUGCUCGCUUUGAUCACUGCUGGUAUUGGGUGGUUGCAACUUGCAGGUUUGCAGCAAAAUUGUGUUGAUGAACCAUCUGAUGUCAAAGGAUUUAAUUUUGCCUCGUUGAAAUUAAAAUGCAAAAGUGGACAGAUAAACGGUGUUGGCACACUUAUUGGAUUGUCUCAGCCAAGUGCGAUAAAGUUUCUUUUCUACGAUUCUGACUCCUUUGACAUGACUACACUUUUAAUAUAUUCUAUUACAUACUUCUUCCUUUCAACGGCGACGAUGGGUACGUACAUAUCUGCUGGAAUAUUCGUACCGAACAUUUUGCUUGGAGCUGCUUGGGGGAGAUUCUAUGGAGAGUUCUGGAAAGCUGUCGCUUUCCCAUAUGAAGAUUUCAGACCUCAUAUAUUUGCGAUUGUUGGAGCCGGUGCGCAGCUCUGUGGUGUGAUCAGAGUGCCUUUAACCAUAGCGAUUAUUAUGAUUGAAACUUGUUCAGCAUAUUAUCUAACUCUUCCGAUUUUUAUUGCAAUGAUGAUUUCAACAGUGGUCGGCAACACGAUUAAUGAAUCUAUAUACCAUAUCCAGUGCUUGGUGGCAGGCAUGCCAAUAAUUGAAAAAGACCCUUCACCGUUAUGCAUGAGAAUUUCAGUUCAAGAUGUGAUGGAAAAAAGUGUUGUCAGCCUGCAAAAAGAGGAAUCGAUACAAAAUGUCUUGUUCAACUUGAUGUCAACGACACACAACAUUUUUCCUAUUUUAAAAGGAAAGGUUCGGUCCGAAGGUGCCAACUAAUCCAAAUACUGCGGUAUAAUCUUUUCAACAAAGACUUUGUUCAAAGCUAUGAGAUUAUGAAAGGCAAUGAUAACCCUCCAUGGACCAUUAAUGAUAUUGACUUAAACCUAUAUGACCUAGAUCAAAUCAUCGACUUAGGUUUAUACAUGAACAACUCACCUUAUUCUUUAAAAAUGGACAGCUCAAUUGUGAACGCUCAUAAGUUAAUGUCCCACAUGGGCGCAAGGCAUGUAAUCAUCGUCAAUGAACUUAAUGAGGUUGUUGGCAUUUUGACGAGAAAAG
This 2595-nucleotide unclassified non-coding RNA is filed under the name Cimex lectularius (bed bug). RNAcentral's name for it is "chloride transport protein 6-like, transcript variant X1". The record is from RNAcentral. Lineage: Eukaryota; Metazoa; Arthropoda; Insecta; Hemiptera; Cimicidae.